This 245-nucleotide ribosomal RNA is filed under the name uncultured bacterium. Its description in RNAcentral is "partial 16S ribosomal RNA". It matches the Rfam family "Bacterial small subunit ribosomal RNA", at positions 524 to 768 of the family's 1533-position model. The record is from RNAcentral.
GACAGAGGGUGCAAACGUUGUUCGGAAUUACUGGGCGUAAAGCGAGUGUAGGCGGUCCGGUAAGUCGGGUGUGAAAGCCCUGGGCUCAACCCAGGAAGUGCACUCGAAACUGCCGGGCUAGAGUAUCGGAGAGGUUGGUGGAAUUCUCGGUGUAGAGGUGAGAUUCGUAGAUAUCGAGAGGAACACCGGUGGCGAAGGCGGCCAACUGGACGAUUACUGACGCUGAGACUCGAAAGCGUGGGGAG